AGUAUAACACCCGGUUAUCACCAGGUGGGUUUGAUUUGCUGUGAUUUUGAUAAUUGGGAAUUAUUAAGAUUAUUUUUAUCAUGUUCACUUUAUUUUGUAUUUAUGUGAUGUGCACUGUUGAAUUUGUUUAUCUACGUAUCGAAAUGUUGAUUUCUCCUCAGUCAGUGCUCUGAUGUAGUGUGAGAGUGGAGGGAAGAAAAUUACUUUGACUUAGAUUGGAGGGAGUUCAUGGCAAUGGAUUUAUCCAACAAUUUGUUAAAGAGACAUACUUGGUGUAUGCCACUUUCAUAAAUGCAUUGUGAGAUGGAUAAGUUUUAUUUCAAAGUACAUGUGCAACCUUUGAUCAGUGCUGCAGAUCAUAAGUUUGAAGUACUUGGAAGGUCUUGGAUUCAUCAAACCUCACAAAAACAACCAACUUGAAUAAGAUAGUCUGCUUUCCAUUGUUUUAUGUCAUUAAUACAUCUAGUGUAUGAUUGUUUCAUGUCAUAUUGAUUUACGAAGACAUUUUAAUGCAGUACAAAUUUUUGGUUGACGGA
This 536-nucleotide unclassified non-coding RNA is filed under the name Hevea brasiliensis (rubber tree). Lineage: Eukaryota; Viridiplantae; Streptophyta; Magnoliopsida; Malpighiales; Euphorbiaceae. The record is from RNAcentral.